UACGAAGGGGGCUAGCGUUGCUCGGAAUUACUGGGCGUAAAGGGCGCGUAGGCGGAUAUUUAAGUUAGAGGUGAAAGCCCAGGGCUCAACCCUGGAAUAGCCUUUAAUACUGGAUAUCUUGAGUUCGGGAGAGGUGAGUGGAACUCCGAGUGUAGAGGUGAAAUUCGUAGAUAUUCGGAAGAACACCAGUGGCGAAGGCGACUCACUGGCCCGAUACUGACGCUGAGGCGCGAAAGCGUGGGGAGCAAACAG
This 252-nucleotide ribosomal RNA is filed under the name uncultured bacterium. Its description in RNAcentral is "partial 16S ribosomal RNA". It matches the Rfam family "Bacterial small subunit ribosomal RNA", at positions 524 to 775 of the family's 1533-position model. The record is from RNAcentral.